CCUACGGGGGGCAGCAGUGGGGAAUAUUGGACAAUGGGGGGAACCCUGAUCCAGCCAUGCCGCGUGUGUGAAGAAGGCCCUCGGGUUGUAAAGCACUUUCAGUGAGGAAGAACGCCUGGUGGUUAAUACCCAUCAGGAAAGACAUCACUCACAGAAGAAGCACCGGCUAACUCCGUGCCAGCAGCCGCGGUAAUACGGAGGGUGCGAGCGUUAAUCGGAAUUACUGGGCGUAAAGCGCGCGUAGGUGGCUUGAUAAGCCGGUUGUUAAAGCCCCGGGCUCAACCUGGGAACGGCAUCCGGAACUGUCAAGCUAGAGUGCAGGAGAGGAAGGUAGAAUUCCCGGUGUAGCGGUGAAAUGCGUAGAGAUCGGGAGGAAUACCAGUGGCGAAGGCGGCCUUCUGGACUGACACUGACACUGAGGUGCGAAAGCGUGGGUAGCAAACAGGAUUAGAUACCCUUGUAGUC
This 465-nucleotide ribosomal RNA is filed under the name Vreelandella stevensii. Its description in RNAcentral is "partial 16S ribosomal RNA". It matches the Rfam family "Bacterial small subunit ribosomal RNA", at positions 338 to 795 of the family's 1533-position model. Lineage: Bacteria; Pseudomonadati; Pseudomonadota; Gammaproteobacteria; Oceanospirillales; Halomonadaceae. The record is from RNAcentral.